Molecule: ribosomal RNA, 406 nt
Filed under: uncultured bacterium
Lineage: Bacteria
Description: partial 16S ribosomal RNA
Rfam family: Bacterial small subunit ribosomal RNA
Source: RNAcentral
AUUGAACGCUGGCGGCAGGCCUAACACAUGCAAGUCGAACGAGUGGCGGACGGGUGAGUAAUGUAUGGGAAACUGCCUGAUGGGGGGGGAUAACUACUGGAAACGGUAGCUUAUACCGCAUACCAUCAUAUGUGCCCAGAUGGGAUUAGCUUGUUGGUGGGGUAACGGCUAACCAAGGCGACGAUCCCUAGCGGGUGUGAGAGAAUGAACAGCAACAUGGGAACGGAGCAACGGUCCGGAUGCCUCCGGGAGGCAGCAGGGGGGAAUAUUGGACAAUGGGCGCAGUCCUGCUGCAGCCAUGCGCGGUGUAUGAAGAAGGCCUUGGGGUGGAAAAGUACUUUCAGCGGGGAGGCGUUACCCGCAGAAGAAGCACCGGCUAACUCCGUGCCAGCAGCCGCGGUAAUUC